This 106-nucleotide small RNA is filed under the name Marmota monax (woodchuck). Lineage: Eukaryota; Metazoa; Chordata; Mammalia; Rodentia; Sciuridae. The record is from RNAcentral.
ACUGGGCACAGUGGUGCAUGCCUGUAAUCCCAGCUACUUGGGAGGCCGAGGCAGGGGGAUCACAAGUUGGAGGUCAGCUUAGCAAUUUAGUAAGACCCUGUCUAAA